UAGUAAUGGCAGGUCAGCAUACUGCCGUGAAUACGUUCCCGGGCCUUGUACACACCGCCCGUCACACCAUGAGAGUUGGGGAUACCCGAAGCCUGUGAGCUAACUGUAAAGAGGCAGCAGUCGAAGGUAGAGCCAAUGAUUGGGGUGAAGUCGUAACAAGGUAUC
This 165-nucleotide ribosomal RNA is filed under the name uncultured bacterium. Its description in RNAcentral is "partial 16S ribosomal RNA". It matches the Rfam family "Bacterial small subunit ribosomal RNA", at positions 1336 to 1500 of the family's 1533-position model. The record is from RNAcentral.